Molecule: small nuclear RNA, 319 nt
Filed under: Apaloderma vittatum (bar-tailed trogon)
Lineage: Eukaryota; Metazoa; Chordata; Aves; Trogoniformes; Trogonidae
Description: 7SK RNA
Rfam family: 7SK RNA
About the family: 7SK was discovered as an abundant small nuclear RNA in the mid-70s but a possible function has only recently been suggested. Two independent studies have found that 7SK RNA binds the CDK9/cyclin T complex (known as elongation factor P-TEFb).
Source: Rfam by way of RNAcentral
GGAUGUGAGGGCGAUCUGGCUGCAACAUCUGUCACCCCCUUGAUCGUGACAUUGAUCGCCAGUGUUGAUUUGGCUGAUCUGGCUGCCUAGGUGGGUGUCCCUCACUGCUCCACGUGCGUCCCACCCGAAGCUGCGCGCUCGGUCAAAGAGGAUGACCUUCCCCAAUAGAGGCGUGUACCGUUCAUUGUUCAAGGGUAUACGGUAGCUGCGCUCCCCUGCUAGAACCUCCAAGCAAGCUCAAGGUCCAUUUGUAGGAGAAGCUUCCAAGACUGCAGACACAUCCAAGUGAGGCGCUGCAUGGGGCAGUCUGCCAUUGUUU